This 253-nucleotide ribosomal RNA is filed under the name uncultured bacterium. RNAcentral's name for it is "partial 16S ribosomal RNA". It matches the Rfam family "Bacterial small subunit ribosomal RNA", at positions 524 to 776 of the family's 1533-position model. The record is from RNAcentral.
UACGGGGGGGGCAAGCGUUGUUCGGAAUUACUGGGCGUAAAGGGUUCGUAGGUGGCCAACUAAGUCAGACGUGAAAUCCCUCAGCUUAACUGGGGAACUGCGUCUGAUACUGGUUGGCUUGAGUGCAGGAGAGGAACGCGGAAUUCCAGGUGUAGCGGUGAAAUGCGUAGAUAUCUGGAGGAACACCGGUGGCGAAGGCGGCAUCCUGGACCAAUAUUGACGCUGAGGAGCGAAAGCGUGGGGAGCGAACAGG